GACAGAGGUCCCGAGCGUUAGGCGGAAUCACUGGGCUUAAAGCGUGUGUAGGCGGACUUCUAAGUACCUUGUGAAAUCCCACGGCUUAACCGUGGAACUGCUUGGUAUACUGGUUGUCUUGGGCCACUUAGGGGCUACCGGAACAAACGGUGGAGCGGUGAAAUGCGUAGAUAUCGUUUGGAACGCCAAUGGUGAAAACAGGUAGCUGGGAGUGUGCCGACGCUGAGACACGAAAGCCAGGGGAGCGAACGGG
Molecule: ribosomal RNA, 253 nt
Filed under: uncultured bacterium
Lineage: Bacteria
Description: partial 16S ribosomal RNA
Rfam family: Bacterial small subunit ribosomal RNA
Source: RNAcentral